GAUGAACGCUGGCGGCGUGCCUAAUACAUGCAAGUCGAGCGAACAGACGAGGAGCUUGCUCCUCUGACGUUAGCGGCGGACGGGUGAGUAACACGUGGAUAACCUACCUAUAAGACUGGGAUAACUUCGGGAAACCGGAGCUAAUACCGGAUAAUAUAUUGAACCGCAUGGUUCAAUAGUGAAAGACGGUUUUGCUGUCACUUAUAGAUGGAUCCGCGCCGCAUUAGCUAGUUGGUAAGGUAACGGCUUACCAAGGCAACGAUGCGUAGCCGACCUGAGAGGGGAAUGGGCCCAACGGAAACUGGGAAAGGGCCCAGAUCCUAAGGGGAGGAGGCGGAGGGAAUCUUCCGCAAUGGGCGAAAGCCUGACGGAGCAACGCCGCGUGAGUGAUGAAGGUCUUCGGAUCGUAAAACUCUGUUAUUAGGGAAGAACAAAUGUGUAAGUAACUAUGCACGUCUUGACGGUACCUAAUCAGAAAGCCACGGCUAACUACGUG
This 496-nucleotide ribosomal RNA is filed under the name uncultured bacterium. RNAcentral describes it as "partial 16S ribosomal RNA". It matches the Rfam family "Bacterial small subunit ribosomal RNA", at positions 28 to 507 of the family's 1533-position model. The record is from RNAcentral.